UUGAACGCUGGCGGCAGGCCUAACACAUGCAAGUCGAGCGGUAACAGAAAGUAGCUUGCUACUUUGCUGACGAGCGGCGGACGGGUGAGUAAUGCUUGGGAACAUGCCUUGAGGUGGGGGACAACAGUUGGAAACGACUGCUAAUACCGCAUAAUGUCUACGGACCAAAGGGGGCUUCGGCUCUCGCCUUUAGAUUGGCCCAAGUGGGAUUAGCUAGUUGGUGAGGUAAUGGCUCACCAAGGCAACGAUCCCUAGCUGGUUUGAGAGGAUGAUCAGCCACACUGGAACUGAGACACGGUCCAGACUCCUACGGGAGGCAGCAGUGGGGAAUAUUGCACAAUGGGCGCAAGCCUGAUGCAGCCAUGCCGCGUGUGUGAAGAAGGCCUUCGGGUUGUAAAGCACUUUCAGUCAGGAGGAAAGGUUAGUAGUUAAUACCUGCUAGCUGUGACGUUACUGACAGAAGAAGCACCGGCUAACUCCGUGCCAGCAGCCGCGA
This 496-nucleotide ribosomal RNA is filed under the name North Sea bacterium 12-41. Its description in RNAcentral is "bacterial SSU rRNA". It matches the Rfam family "Bacterial small subunit ribosomal RNA", at positions 30 to 520 of the family's 1533-position model. The record is from RNAcentral.